CCUCGACAGAAGCACGGUGACGUGACCAUCGAGAAUGUUCGAGAGGCUCUUCUGAGGGCAACAAGCGGAAAUGCACUGGAAACAGCACCAAAAGGGGCAGCGGGUUCCAGGAAGCCAGAAACCAGGCGGAAUCGCCGCGCGGGCAGCAAAGGCGGCGAGGCUUCCAACGGACGGACGUCCUUCUAGAUGCCGGAGGCCACCAAGCUCUCCGUCUGCUUCCCCGCUGGGCCGUGGCCUCGCCUUCCCUCGCCUGCUCGCUCCUCACCUGCUGAUCCCCGGCCCCGCCGGCGGCGCCACCCAGGGACCGACCCUGGCACCGGGCGGGUGGCGGCGGGCAGGUGUCCAGGGAAGUGACGCCCGCGUGCGCUCCAGCACCGCCUUCUCCUGCACCGGGUCGGGUCCCCUCGCCCGUCCUGGCGACCUUCGCAGCCGUGGGUUCUAGAGCGUCGGCGGCUCCAGGCAGCGCUAGGUAACUAGCCAGGAGGUGAGGGCCGCAGUGCGGAACCGGCUUCCUCCUGGCGCGGCGGGCAGGACAGACCACUAGUGGGACCCACGCCGCAGCUCCAGUGCAAUUCCGGGGGUGCAGUCCAGGGGUGCAAUCCAGGGGUGCAAUUCCAGGGGUGCUUGGGUGAAUGUGGCCACACACCUGGCACACAGCAGAUCUUCGGGAACCAUCAGCCACGGGAGGAAUGAGCACGGGGCCAGAGGUGGGGGAGGUCAUCCUUGAUUUGAGGGGCUGGGUAUCACUGCAGUGGUAACUCCCAUCUUCUCCCCACAGUCUCCCUUUUUAUUGUUUCAAGCAGGAGUGCAGAUUCCCGGUUCCUUGCCCCGAAAGCAACCAGAGAAGCCACCUGCGGGAGCCGCUGCGUGACACUGCCUGGUGACCAGGGGGCCCAGAGCCGAAGGCGCAGCAGGGAGACACAGGCGGGGUGGCGGGGCUGGGCCUCAGGCCCUGCGGCUCGGGGGCCCCCAGACUUCAGGGCAGGCGGCCUUGGCUGAUGCCACCGCCGGAGGCACCAGGACACGUCCAUGGAAUGAAGUUUUCGGGCCGUGGGGGCUCCGAGCACAAGGAAGGCCUUUGCAAACGUUGGGUGGGGUUUCUUUUUCCCUUAAUUAUGCUCACUCCACGCCCUCUCCGCUUGCCACCUGUGCCCCUUCCCUGGACAAGCACCCACCACCCUGAGGUCGGCUUGCCUUCACACGAGGGCCAGUUGGGGUUUUCCCAUCUGAAGGUUUUCUUCCAAAGGCUGGUCCCACGCAAGCUCCAAGGCUGAGGACCCGAGGGGGCAUCCAGGCUGCAGAAAAAGUGGGGAGCCU
This 1317-nucleotide long non-coding RNA is filed under the name Vulpes vulpes (red fox). Its description in RNAcentral is "lncRNA (ENSVVUG00000010412.1)". The record is from RNAcentral. Lineage: Eukaryota; Metazoa; Chordata; Mammalia; Carnivora; Canidae.